Molecule: ribosomal RNA, 497 nt
Filed under: uncultured bacterium
Lineage: Bacteria
Description: partial 16S ribosomal RNA
Rfam family: Bacterial small subunit ribosomal RNA
Source: RNAcentral
GAUGAACGCUGGCGGCGUGCCUAAUACAUGCCAGUCGAGCGAACAGACGAGGAGCUUGCUCCUCUGACGUUAGCGGCGGACUGGUGAGUAACACGUGGAUAACCUACCUAUAAGACUGGGAUAACUUCGGGAAACCGGAGCUAAUACCGGAUAAUAUAUUGAACCGCAUGGUUCAAUAGUGAAAGACGGUUUUGCUGUCACUUAUAGAUGGAUCCGCGCCGCAUUAGCUAGUUGGUAAGGUAACGGCUUACCAAGGCAACGAUGCGUAGCCGACCUGAGAGGGUGAUCGGCCACACUGGAACUGAGACACGGUCCAGACUCCUACGGGAGGCAGCAGUAGGGAAUCUUCCGCAAUGGGCGAAAGCCUGACGGAGCAACGCCGCGUGAGUGAUGAAGGUCUUCGGAUCGUAAAACUCUGUUAUUAGGGAAGAACAAAUGUGUAAGUAACUAUGCACGUCUUGACGGUACCUAAUCAGAAAGCCACGGCUAACUACGUG